GAUGAACGCUGGCGGCGUGCUUAACACAUGCAAGUCGAACGAUGAAGCCUAGCUUGCUGGGUGGAUUAGUGGCGAACGGGUGAGUAACACGUGAGCAACCUGCCCCUCACUCUGGGAUAAGCGCUGGAAACGGCGUCUAAUACUGGAUACGAAACGCAACCGCAUGGUUAGUGUUUGGAAAGAUUUUUUGGUGGGGGAUGGGCUCGCGGCCUAUCAGCUUGUUGGUGAGGUAAUGGCUCACCAAGGCGUCGACGGGUAGCCGGCCUGAGAGGGUGACCGGCCACACUGGGACUGAGACACGGCCCAGACUCCUACGGGAGGCAGCAGUGGGGAAUAUUGCACAAUGGGCGGAAGCCUGAUGCAGCAACGCCGCGUGAGGGAUGACGGCCUUCGGGUUGUAAACCUCUUUUAGCAAGGAAGAAGCGAAAGUGACGGUACUUGCAGAAAAAGCGCCGGCUAACUACGUGCCAGCAGCCGCGGUAAUACGUAGGGCGCAAGCGUUAUC
This 505-nucleotide ribosomal RNA is filed under the name uncultured bacterium. Its description in RNAcentral is "bacterial SSU rRNA". It matches the Rfam family "Bacterial small subunit ribosomal RNA", at positions 28 to 545 of the family's 1533-position model. The record is from RNAcentral.